Molecule: long non-coding RNA, 470 nt
Filed under: Olea europaea (common olive)
Lineage: Eukaryota; Viridiplantae; Streptophyta; Magnoliopsida; Lamiales; Oleaceae
Description: long non-coding RNA (OEUR_LNC009800)
Source: RNAcentral
AAAAACGCCUAAAAUUCCACAAAAACCCAAAUUAACACGAUAUCUCAAUUCCAAUACUUCUUUUGCAAUAUAGAAUGAAUACACGCAUAAGCGUCCUUAUAUGUAACUCAACCCAUUUUUUCUGAAUCAAGAUUAAUAAUCCGUGUUUUUACAGAAAAAAAUAUCGAGAAUUCUACCGACAAUUAUACAGAUCGCUCUCAGAAACAAAUCCAUGACACUCAAAUUGAUACAAUAACCAGAUCCAAUAUUGAUGCAUGCAAAUGAUUAGCAAAAGUACCAAAACUAAAAGGGUCAAUUGAAAAUUACUUCGUCCGCGUGUGUCUGUGAGAGAGAGAGUCACCUUGAUGAGUUCUCCAAGUGGUUCAAUGUAAGAAAAUGGCGGAAGACUGGAUGUGCAUGAAUAUUCAUAUUUUGUUUGAUAAAUAAAUUGAAUACAUAUAUUCCUAUUUCACGCGUUACUUAGACGCGUA